UACGUAGGGUGCGAGCGUUGUCCGGAAUUACUGGGCGUAAAGGGCGCGUAGGCUGCGGGGUAAGUCGGGUGUGAAAUCUCAGAGCUCAACUCUGAAACUGCACUCGAUACUGCUUUGCUUGAGGACUGGAGAGGAGAUUGGAAUUCACGGUGUAGCAGUGAAAUGCGUAGAUAUCGUGAGGAAGACCAGUGGCGAAGGCGGGUCUCUGGACAGUUCCUGACGCUGAGGCACGAAGGCCAGGGGAGCAAACGGG
This 253-nucleotide ribosomal RNA is filed under the name uncultured bacterium. Its description in RNAcentral is "partial 16S ribosomal RNA". It matches the Rfam family "Bacterial small subunit ribosomal RNA", at positions 524 to 776 of the family's 1533-position model. The record is from RNAcentral.